GUCUAGGUGCAGAGGCCAGAGGAAGUCAUUGCUGUCCUGUCCCGCCUGGGGCUUUUGUGGACCAGUCUCCCAGUGAGGUGCCUGGUCUGAGAGGGCCUUGACCAUUCCCCUUGGGAGUCUUUCAGACCCCAGUCUUGUGUGUUCUGACUGACACACCCAGACCCAUGGGGCUUCAGCCUCACAUGGAUUCACUCUGUUCCAGUUAAGCUGGACCCGCCCUCUGACUUGCAGAGCAACAUCAGUUCUGGCCACUGCAUCCUGACCUGGAGCAUCAGUCCUGCCUUGGAGCCAAUGACCACACUUCUCAGCUAUGAGCUGGCCUUCAAGAAGCAGGAAGAGGCCUGGGAGGGUGAAGAGAAUCUUCUACCAGAACGUGCCCUCUCCAGCGAUGUUCUUCCAGCCCCUCUACAGUGUACACAAUGGGAACUUCCAGCAGGUAGAGCAGAGCCGGAGCCAGGUGCAGGCCAUUGGAGAGAAGGUCUCCUUGGCCCAGGCCAAGAUUGAGAAGAUCAAGGGCAGCAAGAAGGCCAUCAAGGUGUUCUCCAGUGCCAAGUACCCUGCUCCAGAGCGCCUGCAGGAAUAUGGCUCCAUCUUCACGGGCGCCCAGGACCCUGGCCUGCAGAGACGCCCCCGCCACAGGAUCCAGAGCAAGCACCGCCCCCUGGACGAGCGGGCCCUGCAGGUCUGCUGGCUGCGCACAUAACUUAGCCUGUCACACACCAGGAGGACUGGAUACUGGGGAGGAGCCGGGGCCACCAUAGGGUUCUGUCCCC
Molecule: long non-coding RNA, 773 nt
Organism: Homo sapiens (human)
Lineage: Eukaryota; Metazoa; Chordata; Mammalia; Primates; Hominidae
Source: Ensembl